This 373-nucleotide ribosomal RNA is filed under the name uncultured bacterium. Its description in RNAcentral is "bacterial SSU rRNA". It matches the Rfam family "Bacterial small subunit ribosomal RNA", at positions 28 to 402 of the family's 1533-position model. The record is from RNAcentral.
GACGAACGCUGGCGGCGUGCUUAACACAUGCAAGUCGAACGAUGAAGCCCUUUCGGGGGUGGAUUAGUGGCGAACGGGUGAGUAACACGUGGGUAACCUGCCCUGUACCCUGGGAUAAGCCUUGGAAACGAGGUCUAAUACCGGAUAUGACCUGCUCUCGCAUGGGGGUGGGUGGAAAGUUUUGGCGGUGCAGGAUGGACCCGCGGCCUAUCAGCUUGUUGGUGGGGUGAUGGCCUACCAAGGCGACGACGGGUAGCCGGCCUGAGAGGGCGACCGGCCACACUGGGACUGAGACACGGCCCAGACUCCUACGGGAGGCAGCAGGUGGGGAAUAUUGCACAAUGGGCGAAAGCCUGAUGCAGCGACGCCGCGU